Long non-coding RNA from Vespa mandarinia (Asian giant hornet), 2270 nucleotides. RefSeq lists it as uncharacterized. NCBI's taxonomy places the organism in Eukaryota, Metazoa, Arthropoda, Insecta, Hymenoptera, Vespidae. The record is from RefSeq and is a predicted model, not a curated record.
CUACAGUAACUCACUUGAUCAUUCUUUGGACAGAUGAUUCUAUGGCAAAAAUAAAGAAAUUCGUGUCCAAUGUCACAAAGAUUGUUACACGCGAGAAACUUAAAAUAAUUUUAAUUUAAAGUUUCAAUAUUUUAAAAAAUUUUCAUUCCUGGGUAGUUGACCUUACGUAAUAUAACUAUAUACGAACUUUUUAUUAACUUUGAUAUUUACCGAGUCAGUUCUUUUUUUUGUAUUGUGGCGCCUGAACAUAGAAACUCUCACUAUCCAAAUGUAAAAACUUAUAAAUUAAUAUUUUAUUAACGAAUAUUUAAAAACAUCAUUGCAAUUGCGCUCGAAGCGAUGAUGUAAUCGAAUGUUUGUGUCACUAUUAUAAAAAUAUCGCAAAGUGAAAACAGUAUUUAUUCGUUUGCGUUUUGCGAUUUAAACAACAAGUAUUUUUGCAUCGAUUGCGUGCAAUUCAAUCGUAAAAGUCAGUGUUCGCUCGCAAAGUAUUUUGCUUUUUUAAUAGUCGCACAGACUGUAUUUAUAAAAGACAAUAGAAUUUCUCGAAGUAAAUUCAGUGAUUGUUCGUUAAUAAAUAACUAGAGUCAGUGCACCAUUGAAUAGGAUCUCGACUAACUUCGAUACCGACCUACUUCAUUUUCAACCAGCUACAUUUUAUCCACCCUUAAUUUUAAUCUAAAUCGCGGACGAGUGUUUUGGAGCCGUCGCAGAACUUCUAAAGUAGGAUCAUCGAGGGAUCAACGAGGGAUAGACUUAUCUACGAUCGGAUGAGUCCGAUGUAUUGUUAAAUGGCUCGGUUCAUCGUCAAUUUUUAUGCGAUAAUACGGGAAGAAUAGGGAGAACACUAGCACGUGUAGGACGGCAUAUGCAUGGGUGUUAGUGGACGCGAUUAAAAGUUCAUUUUAUUUAUUCGAAAAUUCAAUUAAAUAACCUCGCGUGGGUGUCUGGUUUGGUGGGUGGGUGUCUUGAUUAAAAGUCUUACCAUGGAUUUCAUUGUAUUAUUCGAAAUUUGAAAUACACGAAAGAUUCUACUUAGUAGUAGAGUACAUGUAGUUACCGAUGUUGCAACGGUUCAGUUACCCAUAAGCGGAGACUGACCCUUCUCUAGAUAGUGUUGAGAGCCAGAAUUCUCGGUUAGCUCAUGUCACCUCAGAUUUCAACGUAGAGUCAGCGUGAUUCUAAACACUCACGUGAACGUUUUAAACACUCACGGAGACUGACCCUCCUCCUCUAGAUAAUAUUGGGAGCCAGAAUUCUCGAUUAGCUCAUGUCACCUCGGAUUUCAACGUAGAGUCAGCGUUAUUCUAACACUCACGUGAGUGUUCGCGAACGCAAUUAAAAGUCCUACCGGGAACUUUGUUUUAUUUGUUAUUGAAAAUUCGAUUAGAUUAUUUCGCGAACGCGAACUUUAGAACAGAGUCACCGUUAGCCCGUUGGUCUCCAGAUACAGCAAUUUGCACGUAGUGAGACUUAGGUCGAUAGUACUUGUGAUAUAUUGAAAUCUAAUUGUAAAUCACGCAAUGCAACUUACCGGACGAACGGCUGAAUAUUUCAAUGCAUUUUAAAAAUCCCUUCAAAUUAAUUCUGAUUAAACACUAAAGUACUAAUACUUUAUAUUGGAAAUAAUACUUCUAUAGACAAAUAGAUAAAAUAUAGUUAAAUUCAAAGAUAAUUCUUUAAAUUCGCAAAUGUAUAUACUAAUUAUCAUAUAUGUUAAUUACAUUUAUUAUUUUUUAUGCUUUUAUCGUGAAAUAAAUCCAGUACCAGCGUCGCAUCUAACAUGGAUCAUUGCAAGACCCACGCAUCAUAUAGAAAGAUAUACAUAUGAGAGAUUGAAAAGAGUGAGUUUACUAUCUACUAAAUUACUUACUCUAUCCACACAAAACCAAUUAUUAUAUAAGCGCGAAAGAAGAAUAACCAUCAAGCUUAUAUAUCGAUACAAUAGACGUAUGGUAGAGACAGCGUUCCCCGCAUGUAUUCGCAGUUCAUAUUUUACCUGUCGCUAAAGUCACACGCGCUUUGAACAAAAGGUAUUGAAAGCGCGCAAACAAUACUCGUAGUACCAACUAGUAACAGGAAUUAAUACUACACACUUUAAUGUAAAAUACUCAUCGCACCAUCUAGCAGCGAGAAAUUAUACUAUAACAUUAAGUACAAAAUAUCCAUUGUACCAUCUAAGAAAUUGAUACUAACGAAAUAAUACAACUUAUCUGUAUUCCCAUUUAUCGAUUCAAUUAAAAGAAUAAAAUUUCUCAAAAAUCACCUUA